GGGGGUGAAAGGCCAAUCAAACCGGGAGAUAGCUGGUUCUCCCCGAAAGCUAUUUAGGUAGCGCCUCGUGAACUCAUCUCCGGGGGUAGAGCACUGUUUCGGCUAGGGGGCCAUCCCGGCUUACCAACCCGAUGCAAACUGCGAAUACCGGAGAAUGUUAUCACGGGAGACACACGGCGGGUGCUAACGUCCGUCGUGAAGAGGGAAACAACCCAGACCGCCAGCUAAGGUCCCAAAGUCAUGGUUAAGUGGGAAACGAUGUGGGAAGGCCCAGACAGCCAGGAUGUUGGCUUAGAAGCAGCCAUCAUUUAAAGAAAGCGUAAUAGCUCACUGGUCGAGUCGGCCUGCGCGGAAGAUGUAACGGGGCUAAACCAU
This 375-nucleotide ribosomal RNA is filed under the name Salmonella enterica subsp. enterica serovar Poona. Its description in RNAcentral is "partial 23S ribosomal RNA". It matches the Rfam family "Bacterial large subunit ribosomal RNA", at positions 817 to 1190 of the family's 2925-position model. Lineage: Bacteria; Pseudomonadati; Pseudomonadota; Gammaproteobacteria; Enterobacterales; Enterobacteriaceae. The record is from RNAcentral.